Molecule: long non-coding RNA, 1149 nt
Filed under: Trifolium pratense (red clover)
Lineage: Eukaryota; Viridiplantae; Streptophyta; Magnoliopsida; Fabales; Fabaceae
Description: long non-coding RNA (TPRA_LNC003475)
Source: RNAcentral
GACGAGGAAAGAAGCAAAUGCAUUUGUUUGGUGUGGCGGAGACAAUACACUCCAUAACUGCUUAAAUAGACAAACCCUCUAACCCUAUUUCAAUUAUAAAAUGAAUAAAUCAAUUGAAUUUCAAGGCGGGAGAAACUGAAAGUGAAAUUCGAAAUUACUUUUUACCUCUUGAUCUUAUCUUAUCCCUUUGGAGGAAAAUCCAAUCUACAGGUAUAUUGACCAAACCUGCAAAAUCAACAAAUAAUGAAUCAUUAAAAUGGUAAUUUUUCAACAUUGGGGUUUUCUUCAUGUAAAGACAUGUGAAAUUUUUCUGAAAUUAGAGGAGGAUUUGAAGAGAGGGAAGGGUUAAAAAUGAAAUUUUUCUAGCGAUGACAGAGUGAAGAAGAUGUUGCAUUGAUAAGUAAUUGAAACUUUUUGGUUGUGAAAAUGGUUUCAAAUUUGUUAGCCAAAAGAAGAAGAGGAGUUCUGCUUUGCAGAACAAUGAAAACGACGCCUCAUGAUCUUCCACUGUCCUAUUUUGUUUUUUUUCGAUUUUUUUAUUGUUUUCAACAAACCGGACCGGGCUUGUUUGGGCCUUAAUGGAUUGGACUGUUGUUUUUGGCCCAGCAAGCAAUGAGAUGAAUGGGAGGGAAAGGAAAUUCAAAUUGCUGGCCAAAAGAAGCAAAGUUUUUCAAAUUUUUCCAGCUAGGAUUUUUUCUGCAUGAUUGUGUGAUUGACAUGUGGCUAAAAUUACCCUAAAGUUGUGUUGAAUUUGUGAAAUUAGAGGAGGAUUUGAAGAGAGGGAAUGGUUAAAAAUGAAAUUUCUCUAGCGAUGACAGAGUGAGAAGAAGAUGUUGCAUCGAUAAGUAAUUGAAACUUUUUGGUUGUGAAAAUGGUUUCAAAUUUGUUAGCCAAAAGAAGAAGAGGAGUUCUGCUUUGCAGAACAAUGAAAACGACGCCUCAUGAUCUUCCACUGUCCUAUUUUGCUUUUUUUCGAUUUUUUUAUUGUUUUCAACAAACCGGACCGGGCUUGUUUGUGCCUUAAUGGAUUGGACUGUUGUUUUUGUCCCAGCAAGCAAUGAGAUGAAAGGGAGGGAAAGGAAAUUCAAAUUGCUGGCCAAAAGAAGCAAAGUUUUUCAAAUUUUUCCAGCUAGGAUUUUUUCUGCAUGA